UACGUAGGGUGCGAGCGUUAAUCGGAAUUACUGGGCGUAAAGCGUGCGCAGGCGGUGAUGCAAGACCGAUGUGAAAGCCCCGGGCUCAACCUGGGAACUGCAUUGGUGACUGCAUCGCUGGAGUAUGGCAGAGGGGGGUGGAAUUCCACGUGUAGCAGUGAAAUGCGUAGAUAUGCGGAGGAACACCGAUGGCGAAGGCAAUCCCCUGGGCCUGCACUGACGCUCAUGCACGAAAGCGUGGGGAGCAAACAGG
This 253-nucleotide ribosomal RNA is filed under the name uncultured bacterium. RNAcentral describes it as "partial 16S ribosomal RNA". It matches the Rfam family "Bacterial small subunit ribosomal RNA", at positions 524 to 776 of the family's 1533-position model. The record is from RNAcentral.